This 493-nucleotide ribosomal RNA is filed under the name uncultured bacterium. RNAcentral's name for it is "bacterial SSU rRNA". It matches the Rfam family "Bacterial small subunit ribosomal RNA", at positions 37 to 507 of the family's 1533-position model. The record is from RNAcentral.
UGGCGGCGUGCCUACACAUGCAAGCCGUGCGAGAAAGUUCCUUCGGGAGCGAGUAAAGCGGCGCACGGGUGAGUAACACGUAGGUAACCUGCCCCCCAGUCUGGAACAACUAGAGGAAACUCUAGCUAAUGCCGGAUGAGACCACGAUCCCUUCGGGGGGUUGCGGCCAAAGAUGGCCUCUACUUGUAAGCUAUCGCUGAGGGAUGGGCCUGCGGGCCAUUAGCUUGUUGGUGAGGUAACGGCUCACCAAGGCUGUGAUGGCUAGCUGGUCUGAGAGGAUGACCAGCCACACUGGGACUGAGACACGGCCCAGACUCCUACGGGAGGCAGCAGUGGGAAUAUUGCGCAAUGGGCGAAAGCCUGACGCAGCGACGCCGCGUGGGUGAUGAAGGCCUUCGGGUCGUAAAGCCCUGUCGCAGGGGAAGAAUAAGCAUCGGUAUAAUACGCCGGUGCCCUGACGGUACCCUGCAAGAAAGCACCGGCUAACUCCGUG